RNAcentral lists this long non-coding RNA (800 nucleotides) under Salmo salar (Atlantic salmon). RNAcentral describes it as "lncRNA (ENSSSAG00000102977.1)". The record is from RNAcentral. Lineage: Eukaryota; Metazoa; Chordata; Actinopteri; Salmoniformes; Salmonidae.
CACCACAAUUUCUGCACAAGUCAUCCAUCCAUCCUUCGCUUCAUCCUUCGCUCCAACCGUCGCUCCAUCCAUCCAUUUUCUACCACAACAUGAAUUCUUAUUAGAGAGGUUAGGCAUUUAUAAACUCUCCCCUGCCAACAUUUGGGACAAUUUGUGAAAGGUAGCCCCCGCUGCCAACACUCCAAGCCCUCAACAGCCAAACAAGAUAAGCAGACAGCCAUGUUUCCCUCGUAGCAAAGCUAAGCACUGAGGCGUGGACCAGACAGGUUUAAAUAUAGCCGCUGAUUAGAUAGAUCAUUUGUCUCUGUUUAGGCGUCUACGAUUAUGUCACUUAACCUGGCAUGUCACUUUGUGUCCCCUAAGACAGUUUGGACCACCAAGCUAUUGAACAUAAUUACUUUUUGUUUGCAAGCUCGUACAGUGUCCGUACAGACACAUAGUCAAUAAGUGGACAAGAUGGCUAAAGGAUGUUCUUUCAGUGGAUAAAAGAGACCAAUAUCCUAGUCAAAAGAUGCCUCCAGUACAAUGGCAUGCAAGCAGGACCUUUCAUGGACUCCCACAGGUUGCGGCCAACGGUGGAGGCCCUCAAGGACUGCACCUCGGCCGGGGAAACAAGUCGGGAUACAUGGAGGUGGAAAUCCUGAACCCCCAAAAUGUGUAUCCCUCCCCAACUGUUCUUGACCUGAAAAAUAGAUUUCAUAAAUCCUCCUGGUUCUGACCCUUGCCUGUUUUCUGGACUCCAUGCCCGCCUGCCUGACCAUUCUGCCUGCUUGACCACGAGCGUGACUGCCACUCUGUAC